Long non-coding RNA from Melanotaenia boesemani (Boeseman's rainbowfish), 486 nucleotides. RefSeq lists it as uncharacterized. The record is from RefSeq and is a predicted model, not a curated record. Lineage: Eukaryota; Metazoa; Chordata; Actinopteri; Atheriniformes; Melanotaeniidae. The transcript is spliced from 3 exons.
UCAGAGUCAAUCCAACACUCAUUUAGUUAAAUUAACCUAUGAGAGAGUCAUUGCUUAAAAUAGUUAGUGUUAAUCUGGUGAGUUGAAUCCAAGUAACUGUUUUCAGUGUUGAUUUUGAAAACCAACACAAAACAGAGUUGAAUUUCUACCGGAAGCUUCUAGAUUUCUAACGGAUCUGUGUCCAGCAAAGAGGAGCGCGCCGCGAAGACAGCAGACCAAGACGUCUGGCUCUUUUCGACAAACUUUGUUGCAUCAUGCUGGUGAAGGUGAGAUUUGGAGAAAUCCAGAAGUAUGUCAAAGUGGCUCAGACCAAUGAAGGCUAUGAGGACUUCAACACAUUUCUUCAGAAAGUCAUUCAAAAGCUAGAUCUUCCACUAGAGACUGAGUUGCACCUGACAGAUGAAUCAGGGACAGAUGUGGAUGCAGAUGUGUUUGAGGAGCUUUUGCGAGCAGGCAACCUUACUGUUAGAGUGACAUCUGAAAGGU